GAUGGACGCUGGCGGCGUGCCUAAUACAUGCAAGUCGAGCGAACGGACGAGAAGCUUGCUUCUCUGAUGUUAGCGGCGGACGGGUGAGUAACACGUGGAUAACCUACCUAUAAGACUGGGAUAACUUCGGGAAACCGGAGCUAAUACCGGAUAAUAUUUUGAACCGCAUGGUUCAAAAGUGAAAGACGGUCUUGCUGUCACUUAUAGAUGGAUCCGCGCUGCAUUAGCUAGUUGGUAAGGUAACGGCUUACCAAGGCAACGAUGCAUAGCCGACCUGAGAGGGUGAUCGGCCACACUGGAACUGAGACACGGUCCAGGCUCCUACGGGAGGCAGCAGUAGGGAAUCUUCCGCAAUGGGCGAAAGCCUGACGGAGCAACGCCGCGUGAGUGAUGAAGGUCUUCGGAUCGUAAAACUCUGUUAUUAGGGAAGAACAUAUGUGUAAGUAACUGUGCACAUCUUGACGGUACCUAAUCAGAAAGCCACGGCUAACUACGUG
This 497-nucleotide ribosomal RNA is filed under the name uncultured bacterium. RNAcentral's name for it is "partial 16S ribosomal RNA". It matches the Rfam family "Bacterial small subunit ribosomal RNA", at positions 28 to 507 of the family's 1533-position model. The record is from RNAcentral.